UACGUAGGGUGCAAGCGUUGUCCGGAAUUAUUGGGCGUAAAGAGCUCGUAGGCGGUUUGUCGCGUCUGCUGUGAAAACUCGGGGCUUAACCCCGGGCCUGCAGUGGGUACGGGCAGACUAGAGUGCGGUAGGGGAGAUUAGAAUUCCUGGUGUAGCGGUGGAAUGCGCAGAUAUCAGGAGGAACACCAAUGGCGAAGGCAGAUCUCUGGGCCGUAACUGACGCUGAGGAGCGAAAGCAUGGGGAGCGAACAGG
RNAcentral lists this ribosomal RNA (253 nucleotides) under uncultured bacterium. RNAcentral describes it as "partial 16S ribosomal RNA". It matches the Rfam family "Bacterial small subunit ribosomal RNA", at positions 524 to 776 of the family's 1533-position model. The record is from RNAcentral.